GCCUGUUUUUUCAAAAACAUUGCCUUCAGCCUUAAUAUUAAAGGUAAAUCUGCCCAGUGAUACAGUAAUAACUCUAUUAAAUUCAACGGCCGCGGUAUUCCUGACCGUGCUAAGGUAGCACAAUAAUGAGCCUUCUAAUUAAGGGAUAGAAUGAAUGAAUUAACAAGAAAUAAUCUGUCUCUUUUUUGUUUAAUUGAAAUUUAGGUUUAGGUGAAAAAUCCUAAAUUUAGCACAAAGACAGAAAGACCCUAUAAGCUUUUAUCCUAAUAUUUUAUAAAUAAAACGAUAUUUAAUUGGGGCGAUUUCAAGGUGCCAACACUUACUACAUCAAGAAAUAUAUAUCGUAUAGCCUAUCUACUAGCAUACAAGUAAGUUACUAUAGGGAUAACAGGCUAAUACUUCUUGAGAGCACAUAUCUACAGAAGUGCUUAGCACCUCGAUGUUGGCUUAAGGAUCCCAAUUUANCGCAGAGUAAAAAAGGGGGGUUUGUUCAACCUUUAAUUCCUUACAUGAUCUGA
Molecule: ribosomal RNA, 518 nt
Filed under: Odontosyllis maorioria
Lineage: Eukaryota; Metazoa; Annelida; Polychaeta; Phyllodocida; Syllidae
Description: partial large subunit ribosomal RNA
Rfam family: Bacterial large subunit ribosomal RNA
Source: RNAcentral